RNAcentral lists this long non-coding RNA (766 nucleotides) under Equus caballus (horse). RNAcentral describes it as "lncRNA (ENSECAG00000057243.1)". Lineage: Eukaryota; Metazoa; Chordata; Mammalia; Perissodactyla; Equidae. The record is from RNAcentral.
GUUCAGACGGACAGCCCAUUGUCUGUGCUUCUCCAGUUUCAUCAGGCAGUUUUAGAGGCAUUAAACCCGAACAGGUCACACUGGGCUAACGAAUUUCAUUCUGCGUGGACGACGAUGACCCACGAACCAAAGCCGGCAACUGUGACCUCUGGCCGUGUGGUCUCACAGUGGCGGUGGUUGACAGGUGGCUGGAUCCUGGGCCAGGGAUUCAGUUUUCAUAGUCACUGAAUUUUCCAGGAGUGCAACGACCGUGUCAAUUGAGGAGGGCUGUUCUUGGUUUCAUUUGGACGUUAACCAAGAGCUGGUCACCAUUUCGGAAAAUCGCGUCACCAUUGGCCUCACCCACGGGCACACCUGUGAGCAUCUGCACUUGCAGCUGUUGCCUUCCUGGGGACCCUGGAAGGGGGCAAGCGUCUGAAUCCUUCUUUAUGUGGCCGAGGGAGUCCAGCGUCCCUGUAUAUGAUUUUAUGGCAAAUUACCUUCCUUUUAAUCCUCUUUUAUAUUAUAAUGAAGACAUUAUAUUGUUUUAAACAUCAUAUGUACACGUGAAUUAUAUACCUGUAAAUUCAACUUCAGGAUAGAAAGGCACAUUACCAAAUAUUAUAUAAAUACAAUAUAAUAUCUAUUAUAUAAAUAUAUUUUGUAAAAGGAGCGUCGGGUUUGAACGGGUUGGGGAGCCUGUGAGUCAGGAGACGGGAAAUGGUUUCGUGACGGGUGAGUCAGGGCUAAACGGGGGGACCAGGCAGCCGGGACAGCCACCAAGCAG